UGUCGUUUCCUCGGGAAGGAGUGGUGGGGAGUUGCUAAGCUUCGGCAAUUGUUUCUUGACGGUGACGUUGAGCGGUGGUUUUUGUCUUUUAUGUUUUACAUGUUUUACGUUUUAUUUUCUUUUGCAUGUUUUUUACGUUCUUUCGUUUCUUUAGUCGUUAUUUUAGGUUUUAACGUUUAGUUGGUAGUUACUGGCUUUUAUUGUCUUUUGCUUUUAGGUAGUUUUAACUUUGCGUUUUCAUUUGUUUUAUCCUUGAUCUGUUUCCUGUUUUUCAUUCUUGAUUUUAUUUUGGUUUUUGUUUCGAACUGCAUCUCUUUUUUUUUUCCCUCUUUAUCUCUUUCUGACGUGGUUUUUGCGAGUUUUCUCCGUUGUGCUUCGCUUCGCCUUCUGAUCAGGGUGUCUGCUCCGUUCGAAGCAGAAGGUGGGACGUCUAUGCUCUUUCUUGGUGUUCUUUAAAGACUGGUCCCCUUAAGCUUGCGUUCGCCUCUUGAUCGGUGUUGAUGCAACUGUGUGGUUUUGCUUCGUUCUCUUCUUGUUUUCCUUUCUGUUGGUGAACUGAUCGGGGGGUAAUUCGCUCUCGGUGUUUUGGGGUGGACGUUUUCUUGGUUUCUCUUUGACGGCUUGUGCAUCUGGGCUAGUGUUGCUUCGAAUUGCUGGUGGAGGUCCUCCUGCCCGGGCUUCUCCUCGUGGCUCUUUCCGGCGGGGGUUGGGGGAGGUGGCCCCUGUUUCGAUUUGAUGUUCUUGGCGCUGUUUUCUUCGACGGAGUGCGCACCUAACACGGGUGGUGAUACGGGACUGGCGGUGGAGGCCUUCUUGCUCGUGCUGCCUUCUUCAUUCGGUAUUCUGUUUAUUUUAUUCAUUUUUUGCAUUUCCCUGUAAAGCUAGUUCUAUUGUUUGGGUUGUAAAAGGACUGUACAGGGACUGUUUUUAUAAUUUUCUUUUUUCAUUGAGCCUUA
Molecule: long non-coding RNA, 956 nt
Organism: Gossypium raimondii (Peruvian cotton)
Lineage: Eukaryota; Viridiplantae; Streptophyta; Magnoliopsida; Malvales; Malvaceae
Exons: 2
Source: RefSeq, a predicted model, not a curated record